AGUAGAAGAUGGACAAAUUAUGAGUAGGAAUAUCUACUUUUGAGCCACUGGUGUAAAGAGGCUCAAGAGUAUUGGCUUGAUUGAGACUGUGCCGAAAAUGAAGGUCCUCGGCAUGAACACUGCUAAGGAUGCUAUUGUUAGGCUCACUAGGGAGGUUGUGCCUGGAAUGAUUGUUAUUGGUAUGGAGGUUGGUGAGAUUGAUGGUGCUUCGAGAAUGGGUCCAACAUUUAUCCUAGCUGCUGCUGAUUCUGUUGAAAUUGCAAUGCUUAAUCAAUGAUACCAUUACUAUAUAGUUUAAUAGUAUCAAAAUUCCCAUGGCCAGAAAUAAUAAUUUGUUGUCAGUAGUAUUGAAUUGAUGAUGGGUUGGUUGAUGUGAUUCUGUUUGAGGUUUUGUUAUUAACAUGAACGAAUUGAUGCUUUUGCCAACUA
Molecule: non-coding RNA, 429 nt
Organism: Cicer arietinum (chickpea)
Lineage: Eukaryota; Viridiplantae; Streptophyta; Magnoliopsida; Fabales; Fabaceae
Source: RefSeq, a predicted model, not a curated record